GACGAACGCUGGCGGCGUGCUUAACACAUGCAAGUCGAACGGAAAGGCCCUGCUUUUGUGGGGUGCUCGAGUGGCGAACGGGUGAGUAACACGUGAGUAACCUGCCCUUGACUUUGGGAUAACUUCAGGAAACUGGGGCUAAUACCGGAUAGGAGCUCCUGCUGCAUGGUGGGGGUUGGAAAGUUUCGGCGGUUGGGGAUGGACUCUCGGUUUAUCAGCUUGUUGGGGGGGUAGUGGCUUACCAAGGCUUUGGCGGGUAGCCGGCCUGGGAGGGUGACCGGCCACAUGGGGCCUGCGGUACGGCCCAGACUCCUACGGGAGGCAGCGGUGGGGAAUCUUGCCCAAUGGGCGGAAGCCUGAUGCAGCAACGCCGCGUGCGUGAUGACGGCCUUCGGGUUGUAAACCGCUUUCGCCUGUGACGAAGCGUGAGUGACGGUAAUGGGUAAAGAAGCACCGGCUAACUACGUG
Molecule: ribosomal RNA, 468 nt
Filed under: uncultured bacterium
Lineage: Bacteria
Description: partial 16S ribosomal RNA
Rfam family: Bacterial small subunit ribosomal RNA
Source: RNAcentral